Molecule: ribosomal RNA, 434 nt
Filed under: uncultured microorganism
Description: bacterial SSU rRNA
Rfam family: Bacterial small subunit ribosomal RNA
Source: RNAcentral
GGGCUGCAGUCAAGAAUAUUCCACAAUGGACGAAAGUCUGAUGGAGCGACGCCGCGUGCAGGAAGACGCCCUUCGGGGUGUAAACUGCUUUUCUUAGGGACGAAUUCGUGACGGUACCUAAGGAAUAAGAGGGUGCUAACUCUGUGCCAGCAGCAGCGGUAAUACAGAGCCCUCAAGCGUUAUCCGGAUUCAUUGGGCGUAAAGCGUCCGCAGGUUGUUAAGUAAGUUAAUGGUUAAAUUCUAUGGCCUAACCAUGGAACCGCUAUUAAUACUGCUUGACUUGAGGCUGGGAGAGGUACACGGAACAGCUGGUGUAGUGGUAAAAUGCGUUGAUAUCAGCUGGAACACCAAAGGCGAAGGCAGUGUACUGGAACAGUUCUGACACUAAUGGACGAAAGCGUGGGUAGCGAAUGGGAUUAGAUACCCCAGUAGUC